Picea glauca (white spruce) is the source of this 141-nucleotide non-coding RNA. The record is from Rfam. Lineage: Eukaryota; Viridiplantae; Streptophyta; Pinopsida; Pinales; Pinaceae.
GACCUAAACCUGGGUGAUCUAUCCAUGACCAGUAUGAAGAUUGGGUGAAACUAAGUGGAGGUCCGAACUGACUGAUGUUGAAAAAUCAGCGGAUGAGUAGUGGUUAGGGGUGAAAUGCCACUUGAACUUAGAGCUAUCUCG